GUCCACGCCCUAACGAUGUCAACUGGUUGUUGGGUCUUCACUGACUCAGUAACGAAGCUAACGCGUGAAGUUGACAGCCUGGGAGUACGGCCGCAAGGUUGAACUCAAGGAAUUGACGGGACCCGCACAAGCGGUGGAUGAUGUGGUUUAAUUCGAUGCAACGCGAAACCUUACCCACCUUUGACAUGUACGGAAGUCGCUAGAGAUAGCUUCGUGCUCGAAAGAGAGCCGUAACACAGGUGCUGCAUGGCUGUCGU
RNAcentral lists this ribosomal RNA (257 nucleotides) under uncultured bacterium. RNAcentral's name for it is "partial 16S ribosomal RNA". It matches the Rfam family "Bacterial small subunit ribosomal RNA", at positions 793 to 1055 of the family's 1533-position model. The record is from RNAcentral.